AGAAAGGUGCGAGGUACCUUAUGCACAUUUUCCCCCGUAGGGAUGGGGGUUCUGCUUCUUCUUCUUCUCCUUGCUCGGAGACGCGGGGAGGUGUAAGCAAGUUCAUCUCGAGGAUUUUGACUUCUUUUGAUCCGACAUGCCGCUUGGGCUUAUUCGAGCUGGGUUGUUCUUUUUCCCUUUUGGUCUCAGGAUAAACUACGCGAUUCUGCUAUGAAAUCCCCACAGACGGC
RNAcentral lists this long non-coding RNA (230 nucleotides) under Nicotiana benthamiana. Its description in RNAcentral is "long non-coding RNA (NBEN_LNC039852)". Lineage: Eukaryota; Viridiplantae; Streptophyta; Magnoliopsida; Solanales; Solanaceae. The record is from RNAcentral.